GACGAACGCUGGCGGCGUGCCUAAUACAUGCAAGUAGAACGCACAGUUUAUACCGUAGCUUGCUACACCAUAGACUGUGAGUUGCGAACGGGUGAGUAACGCGUAGGUAACCUGCCUGGUAGCGGGGGAUAACUAUUGGAAACGAUAGCUAAUACCGCAUAAUAUUGAUUAUUGCAUGAUAAUUAAUUGAAAGGUGCAAUUGCACCACUACCAGAUGGACCUGCGUUGUAUUAGCUAGUAGGUGAGGUAACGGCUCACCUAGGCGACGAUACAUAGCCGACCUGAGAGGGUGAUCGGCCACACUGGGACUGAGACACGGCCCAGACGCCUACGGGAGGCAGCAGUAGGGAAUCUUCGGCAAUGGACGAAAGUCUGACCGAGCAACGCCGCGUGAGUGAAGAAGGGUUUCGGAUCGUAAAGCUCUGUUGUAAGAGAAGAACGGGUGUGAGAGUGGAAAGUUCACACUGUGACGGUAUCUUACCAGAAAGGGACGGCUAACUACGUG
RNAcentral lists this ribosomal RNA (505 nucleotides) under uncultured bacterium. RNAcentral's name for it is "partial 16S ribosomal RNA". It matches the Rfam family "Bacterial small subunit ribosomal RNA", at positions 28 to 507 of the family's 1533-position model. The record is from RNAcentral.